RNAcentral lists this unclassified non-coding RNA (348 nucleotides) under soil metagenome. Its description in RNAcentral is "partial contains 5.8S ribosomal RNA, internal transcribed spacer 2, and large subunit ribosomal RNA". The stretch from base 1 to 120 matches the Rfam family "5.8S ribosomal RNA", at positions 35 to 154 of the family's 154-position model. The record is from RNAcentral.
GAUGAAGAACGUAGCGAAAUGCGAUACGUAAUGUGAAUUGCAGAAUUCAGUGAAUCAUCGAGUCUUUGAACGCACAUUGCGCCCCCUGGUAUUCCGGGGGGCAUGCCUGUCCGAGCGUCAUUGCUGCCCUCAAGCACGGCUUGUGUGUUGGGCCUCCGCCCCCCGGCUCCCGGGGGGCGGGCCCGAAAGGCAGCGGCGGCACCGCGUCCGGUCCUCGAGCGUAUGGGGCUUCGUCACCCGCUCUUGUAGGCCCGGCCGGCGCUUGCCGACACAUCAAUCUUUUUUCCAGGUUGACCUCGGAUCAGGUAGGGAUACCCGCUGAACUUAAGCAUAUCAAUAAGCGGAGGA